GUUGGCUGCCGCUGGAGUAACUGGUCGGCUUCUAAAAUUAUAUUUAUUAAAAUCAGUGAAUAUUUUUAUAAAAUUAGAGAUGUCACUACCACAAAACAAUCGCAACAAACGAUCAGCUGAAGAAGCAACAAAUACGCCCAGUCAGAAACGCCAACGCCCUUCAACAGUAAACACAGACGGAAAUGACUCAACCGAGAGCUGGACUUCAGAAUUGCAAUCUUAUUAUGAAAACAUGUUAGAGAAAAUUGACAAUGCCAGAUACUGGGGUGAACUGGCGAAGGACUCGUUGAACGAGGUGUUAAGUACGUUUGCUGAAAAUCGUCAAAUAUUGUUGGAAAUGGUGGAGCAACUCAACUCGCUGGAAAAUUCCGAGGAUCGUAUUUCUUUAUCAACAAACGCCUCCGAAGUUCCAGAAGUUAUGGAAGAAACGAAGAAGCAGAAAAUACCAGAUAGUGAUAAUGACAGUGACAGUUAAGCUUUAAAGACUUAAAACACUGUGAAAGCUUAAGUGUUAAAACAGUGAAAAAAAUGACAGCAAAUACCAAAGCAAAGUGCUAUAAAAAGCAUAAUUUAUACACUAAAAUUAUUUUUUUUUAAAACUUGCACUAGAUAUUUAAUUGCACAAUAUUGCCAUAUCAUUUAAUUUAAUUCCAAAGGUUCAAGUUUAUAGAAAAUUGUAGUGUAUAAAUUGCCCGUCUAAUUUUACUUAAAGUAUUUAGUCAUAUUUAUAAGUCACUAGUCUAAGUAACGUUUUUCGUUUUCCAGCUCCUGUUCAACUUUUGAGGUGAGUGAGGCAGCGAUGAAUGUUCCUUUUCCUCAAGUCUCUACUUUAUCGCCAAAAGGUCAAAAAAGUGACAUUCUGAUGUACCGACCGAUGAUAAGAAGUCAUUUUGGACUUAGUUAAACUAUUGUAGCGCUAAUUAUUCAGUUGCUGGCAGUUUAUUGCAAAGAAGACUUAAGGAUUUGAUUAUUUUUCUCCUAUCCCUCAAAAGUUAAGCAAAUGAAGCGAAAUAAUAAAAAAUAUUGUAUGUCUAGCCAUCUAGUCACGAUAUUCUGAUAUUUGCUCUAGUUUGUGACGCAAAUGUACACAAAUAGGGAAAAAUUUUUGCUCUUUGUCGCGUCACAAUCGUUAUAAAUACGCCCGAAGUCUCGCGCCAUAACCUUAAGCUUAUAUCGCAAGUGCAUCAUCAUCAGAAAACCGUCACUUUGCGGUCUUAUAGACCAAGUUUCAGGUCUAUUUUAUUUCGAUAUAUUUUCUGCCAUUUUUAGUCUCAUAGUUUUGUAAUUCCGAAUUAUAGCCUGUAAGUUUUAUUACAAUACGAGCUGUGAUAUUACAAAUAUUACUCGUAUUUAUAAAUACUGUAUUUACUUAUAAAUUAACUAACACUAAUUACCAUCUUCCCUCACGGGGAUUUUAAAUAGCGAGAACAGUAAAAAGACUUUUGUUUUUAGAGAAGAAAUCUUAAAUGACUGAAUCUAAGGCAUUAAUUUUACAAAAUUAUAAUAAAUCGUUUAAGUGUAAGGAUAUUUUUAAAAUUUUAUCAUUGAAAUUUAUACUGUGCAUAUAUGAUUGUAAAAUUUAAGACGUCAAAAUAUUGAAAUUGCGCAUAAUGAUCAAUUGUACGACAAUUUAAUUAGCACUUUUGAUAUACAAUAAAUGUAUAUACAAAAUCUCUCCAUUGCAUUAAAAUGCAAAUGUCGUAAUUAAUAUUAUCAGGUACCUGAAGGCUAAAGAAAGCCGACUAAGGCUAAAAAGCCGAAUUGAUCAUAUAAAUCGAAAGUCGAUUUGAAAAUAUAAGAUUUCGAUUACAUAUACGUAGCUUGGCACGGUAAUCAAAUCUAAGAUAAAGAGUUUGCUUACAUUCACGUAGCAUGGCACGGUAACGAAUCUCUAAAUUAUAUGAAAAAGAGUCGUAUUGCAUUCUCGUAGCAUGGCACGGCAUACGUCACUCGUAAUUGAGCUGAAAGACAAACAGUCUCGCUCAACUUAUAAGAUAAGGGCCCUUGAAUAAAAAUAUAUACGGGAUAUAAAUCCCUUGAAUAAAAAUAUAUAUGGAUAUAAUUCCCUUAUACAUGGAAUAUAAAUUCCUUGAAUACAAAUAGAUAUUAUUAGCUCUAACUUAAUGUAAUCUUUUAAAUUGCGUAAUUAAUAAAACAACUUUAACUCAACUAAUUGUAUACAUUCGGUAUAACGGGUUAAUGUAUUAACAUAGCGGAUUAGAGCAUAAUUUCAUUAUAUAAACAUGUUAAGAAUAACUAUGUUAUCCCCUACCCCUUUCCUAUCCCUAAAAGUGAGUGGAAGAUAAUGAGAUACACGAAGAAAAGUAACAUCAUACUAGCGAACAUUAUCCAAAUCACAAAGAUAUCAGGAAGACAUAAAAAGGAGACGAGUACUGAAUAUCUGGUAGUCUGUCUACAAAACAUGACAAAUGUCAGAUCAUUUGUUUUGAGACCGAUUAUAAGGUGUUAAAAUACUAAAAAUCGACGUCUACGACAACGAGUUCAAAGAGAUGUGAAAGUGAAAGUGUAUAUAAAACUCAAAGAAUAGUGAAAGUGAAUAAAGACGACAUUGUGCCGGGAUUAGGGCAAUAAAAAAACAUUUUAAGGGAUAGCAUAAGUUUAGUUAUGUUUUAUAAAAGUGUGAUAUUUUGUAAUAAAAAUAUUUUUUUGUAAUAAAAAGAAUAUUUUUAUCUUAAGAAGGGAGGAGUUAAGGAACCCACCACACAAAUGACGAACCCUAACCGUAGCAUUGCAACAUUGUAUAAUAAUCUCGCUACUGAUGUAAAUGAGUUCUAAAUAAUUUGACUAAUCCGAUGUCAAAGCCAAAAGGCACGGACAAAGGUAAUAAACUUAUAAUUUAUGAGUAGUACGUGCUGCUCAAGGUGUUGCACAUACACGUGGUGAGUUUCUUAAGAAUUCCUUUGUGCAGAAAUCCGUAUAUAAGGUGAGCUGCGUCUCCCAAGCAUCAUUCCGGGUCUACUCCUCUCUCCGUACAGUUGUAGUAAUUAUUACUUUAAUAUAAAGUUAAUUCU
Cydia pomonella (codling moth) is the source of this 3032-nucleotide long non-coding RNA. RefSeq lists it as uncharacterized. Lineage: Eukaryota; Metazoa; Arthropoda; Insecta; Lepidoptera; Tortricidae. The record is from RefSeq and is a predicted model, not a curated record. The transcript has 2 exons.